ACAGCCGCCCUCGGAAAGUGCAAAAGCAGCCACGAGACAGAUCCAGGCUUUGUUGCUAAUUUCCCAGGGUGAAAAUUGACAAGCCUGGGAGUGCAGUCAGCACAACCCAUUGCAUAUGCUACUGACAAACGCUGGGGACAUCCCCUCCCACCCAUGCCUAUCACACAGAGAAUGUGACCUCUGCAGGACUGGACUCUGGAAGGACCCUACCUCCAGGACUCGCCCACAAGAAGAACUGCAAAAGAGCUCCAAAGGAGAAGGAAAAAAAAUCAUCAGAAAAACCCCCGUGCAGAUGAAGAGGCUUGAUGCUUAAUGCGCACAGAUGUGAUCGCCAGUGGUCGCCGACAAUGAAAUAUACAAGUGCACACAAAGUGAUCCGGUGAACAAGAGGUGGAAUUUAAUCAUCUUCUGCUGACACUUUGUGAAAAACACCAUUAACCCUCAGCAAACCCCUGUUUUCCUGGCUCCCUGUAACCCCUAAAGUCUCAGCCCCUCCUCCCAAGGAGAAAAAGUGAAAGAAGAAUUUGUGGUUUUGUUUACUCAGCCAAGCUAAAGGUUGGAUCCAGCCAGAUGAAAACUUUAAGGAACAAUGAAGGAGAGAGGUGCCGCUCUGAACCGGGACUAAGGUGCAGAACUGGAGUGAGCUGUUCUCCAACUCCUGAAUUUGAACCCUGGACUGAAUAAAAGCUUUAAGACCACAAGACAAACACAAAGUUUAUAGCCAACUCGUUUUUCAAGUGUAGUGUCUCUGCUACAGUCCUUGCUACUCUCUCCUUGGGAAGGUGCCUUCCAAGGUUCACCGUGGCUCCUCUGUACAUGUCCCUAUUCAGGAGGGCCUGGACUCUUCUUCAAUUUUCUGGUAUGGAAGACAUAUGUGGUAUCAAUUAUUCCAGGACCCAGAUCACUUCUUUCCUUUUAAAAUGCCACCAAGCAUCCUAAGAAAGUGUGAUGGUGUUUGGUGUUUGGAGGGUUUUAAAAUUGGGCACUUUGAAGCUAGCAGGCAGCACUGGCUCUACACACUGUUUUAAGUAGCUUUUCCAUGCUCAGGUGCUACUCCCCCACUAACUCCCCAAACUGCUUCCACAUUCUCCCGCUCCUGCCCUCUGCAUGCUUUACCAAUGUGCACAUAGCUGUUCUUGGGCAUAGAUGGUGCAUGCUAGGGGGAUUGUUUGAAAGGGUAAUUAAUAGGCAUAAGAUCCUGUCCUCAUCUGAUAUAUUUUAUAACUUAUUUUUUAUCAAAAAUGAAUUUCAAAUAUUCUGUUGCCAUCUCAGACAUACCAGCAUACAGCCUAAAAAUAGGUACAGUCACCAGAGCUAUGGUGACGGAUCAAACAAAUCUAUCUGCCAUCAAACUCAUGUUCUUGACUUGGGAAUCUCUCUGUGAAACACAGGGCAUUUCUGAGGAAAGCAAAGCCUGGUGACUGAAUGAAACCUUAGAUUUAUCCCCCUAAGGACAGAAUAGUUUUACAGUCAUGCUUUAAUUUUCCUUUGUAUUUUAUACCUUUGACAUUUCGUGGACAAAUGUAAGGAGCAGCAAGGCUGUUGACAGGCCUGGGGAUGACGAAGGAAGGACUAAGCGUUUUCUUCAUUCAAACAAGGCAGAAAGUGAAACCACGUAGUCUAAUGGUCAGUGUCUCAAUAAGAUGAGAAUAAACAGAAAGAGGCUCCGUGUCUUAUUUAUAUUUUAUCAGAGGUUAUUGCUGUAGAACCGUGAAGCACAAUAAAUAGCAUUCUGUUAGCAGCCAUUUGAAAGAAAAUGUUCAUCACUUUCAAAUAAAAUUACUUCCCUCAACAAAGUGUAUACUCUAUCUAGCCUCACGUUCCUCCAAGGAGCUAAGAAAUGGAGGAUGUUUUAAUGCCCUCACACAAGCCACGUAACUAAUAAACAACUCGAGCCAGCGUUAAUCACUGACCACCUCCUACCAUGGGACAGACAGAUGCACACACACACACACACACACACACACACACACACACUUUAAUUUAAAAGGACAAUGGAUAAUAAUGUGAAAAGAAAAUGCAGCAGCUGCGAUCUUAUUUACAGGAUCUAGCGGGGAAUACACUUCAGGGGGAAAAAAAGAUAUUAUGAUAAGCAGCACUUUGGUUUAUAAGAAAGCAAAGAACAGAAUCUUGAAGUCAUCUGGCUGGCUUGAGAUGUCUCUCAGAGUCACUCCAUUAAAGCAAAUUGCUCUCAUUCUAAAUAACCCUGCACAACAAAACAAGACCUUUAAGAGUAGCCAAUAUUCAAAAUGGCCUACCCAAAUAUUUGUUGCGUCUCCCACUUCCAUGUAUGUAGCAACAGACUUGUUUUGAUGUAAAACCACCUAAGUGAUGUAUGUCAUGGCCCCACUACUUCCCCACAAGUUCUAUACGUUUGCAUUUCUAGAAUAAAAGACAUCUUAUCUUUGUCU
Mus musculus (house mouse) is the source of this 2411-nucleotide long non-coding RNA. RefSeq annotates it as RIKEN cDNA A830011K09 gene. Lineage: Eukaryota; Metazoa; Chordata; Mammalia; Rodentia; Muridae. The record is from RefSeq and is marked validated. The transcript is spliced from 4 exons.